AGCGGCAGGCCUAACACAUGCAAGUCGAGGGGCAGCACAGGUAGCAAUACUGGGUGGCGACCGGCGGAUGGGUGCGUAACGCGUAUGCAACCUACCAUUGAUUGGGGCAUAGCCCGAAGAAAUUCGGAUUAAUACUCCAUAAUAUUCAUCAAAGGCAUCUUUUAUGAAUUAAAGCUUUUGCGAUCAAUGAUGGGCAUGCGUGACAUUAGUUAGUUGGUGAGGUAACGGCUCACCAAAACGAUGAUGUCUAGGGGUUCUGAGAGGAUUAUCCCCCACACUGGUACUGAGACACGGACCAGACUCCUACGGGAGGCAGCAGUGAGGAAUAUUGGUCAAUGGACGCAAGUCUGAACCAGCCAUGCCGCGUGCAGGAUGACGGCCCUAUGGGUUGUAAACUGCUUUUAUAUGGGAGCAAUAAGGUCUACGCGUAGACCGAUGAGAGUACCAUAUGAAUAAGCAUCGGCUAACUCCGUG
This 474-nucleotide ribosomal RNA is filed under the name uncultured bacterium. RNAcentral describes it as "bacterial SSU rRNA". It matches the Rfam family "Bacterial small subunit ribosomal RNA", at positions 39 to 507 of the family's 1533-position model. The record is from RNAcentral.